CUUGAACGAGCCGAGCAGGAGCGGGCGUCGCGGGUCGCGGUCCUGGCCGUAGGUGGCGAGGAGCGCGUUGGCCUC
This 75-nucleotide antisense RNA is filed under the name Streptomyces sp. NRRL F-4711. RNAcentral's name for it is "ASpks sRNA". It matches the Rfam family "ASpks TB sRNA". Lineage: Bacteria; Bacillati; Actinomycetota; Actinomycetes; Kitasatosporales; Streptomycetaceae. RNAcentral also lists the same sequence under 2 other names. The record is from RNAcentral.